CCCGGGGAGCACUGCAAAUCACUUCCUGUAGCGCACACACGCGCACACACACACGCGCGCGCACACACACACACACACACACGAAAGAAAGAAAGAAAAAGAAAGAAAAAAAUGCAUACACCCACUGACUGCACACUAGAGCCAAUCAAUUCUCAAACUGCCUUUGCUACCUUCCCAGAGAUUCCCUUCCGACCUUUGGUUGCUCGCCUCCCCAUCCCCCGACUCAGCAUCUGUGCCAGAGGUCAGUCCGGUCCCUUCGGACGGUCAGAUGAACUUUCUGAAACCCCUUCUUCUCUGCUAAGGCUUCCUGUCCCCCGCUCAGCCCUCCGUGGGGGCCCCUGAGUGUCUGACAGCCAUGAGUUAAAAUGUGACGAAGCCUUUUUAAGAAUAAGAUCUUCAGCGGAUCCUCAUGAAUUCUGAUUUGGAAAGCACCAGCAAUUGGUAAAUAGCCAAAAAAGAAAAAAGAACAGAAAAGAGAAGAAUAUUUACUCCCAGGUGAACAUAAAAAACCAAUUUCCUGGGUUUUUCUUUUUUCAAAUCAGCAGAGCAGCCAUGACAAUGUCUUUGUAGCAAUGCAGCUCCUCCAAAAAAAAAAAAAAAAAGAAAGAAAGAAAAGAAGAAGAAGAAGAAAAGAAAAAGAAAGAAAGAAAGAAAGGUCUGCACAGAGCCUGUGAGGAUGUGUCCCCUGCUAAGGACAACAGCCUUCCUCAGUCAGGGUUGGGUUGAAACCUGCUUCCAGAAAAGAAGAGGACCUCUCUGAGGAAUGGUAGCUGGCUCCAGACAUCCAUUCCAAAAAGGGGGCUGGGCUUGAAGCUUUAUCCCAAUUGAAUGUGCUCGAGGUCUGGAAAAAUGCCUACCAAACGUACAAAUACAUUUCAAUGUCCCUUCUGUUGCUGCCUUGCAACCCUGCAUGAAGGAAGGAAAAAAAAAAUGCAGCUGCUCUGGUUACACAGAAAAUCCGUGUCGGGAGUCAGGCUCCGCUUGGAGGGAGAGGCGAAGGCCUCCUUCCUCUCAGCGAGGACAACAGGGCGUUGGCGGCCCCCAGAAGGUCGGCGGAGACUCAAACCCUCCCAGCCCUUGCACCCGGGGCUCUGCCGGUCUCCGCCAUGCUUGGAGAUAACCCACCGGACACAGAGAAACCACCCUGUGCAAAUUGCCACGCAACUCUGUGUAAGCAAAUAAAUUUAUCUCCGGCACCCUGCCUUCUCCCACCCACGACUAGGUGUGUGCCCCCGGAGGCUCCGAACCCAGCAGAACUUUAUGGCCCCGGUGCCCGGAGGGCGUCUCCUGGCCGGCAGGUGAGGCCAGCGGCCUGGAUGCAGGAGCGCAGGGCCGCGGCGGCUCCCCUCCCCGGGCGCAGGCUUUCAUCCUCGCCCUUCCCCUUGCUCGCUUAGCAACAGCAAGUGCACACCCCAUCCACGAUGGUGAUGGUGAGCGGAACUCCCCCCAGAUCUGAAGCAAAAACGCCCUAUCCUUCCCAAACCCCGCUCUUCAUUAGAAGCAGACAAAAACAGCAAAAUGUGAAUGAGAGGCUGUUUGUGUGAAUGGAAGGGCUAGCAGCGAGCCAGCGAUUCUGUGAAUGAAGCCGGGCCCUGCGAGCCGGUGCCAGGCAAUCCCCUGGCUCCAGCGGCCUCAGCCAAUGAGCAGCCGCCCUGAUGACUCAUUGAAGAAGGCUUGCUCAAUAGUGGAAGAUUCCAUUUCAAUCAAAGGCGGGAUCUUUAUUCCAACGGCAGUGUGGGAAAAAAAAAAAAAAAAAAAAAAAGCCAGCCUGAUUACAAAAUGCAUGGAGGAAGGCAGGACUGUCAUGGACAGCAGAAAAACUAGUUUUUCACGAAAAUUCAAGAACCGUUGUUCAGCUCCCAGUGUGAACAGGACGGCCUCUGCUGGAGGUGAGCUGUGCCCCCAAACUUCCAUUCAGCAGUUCAUUUACAAGCAAGAAACAACCAUGAAUGUGCUCCUCGGUUCAGCGUUUAUCAUGAAUGUACAGGAAACGCACAUUCAAACCCUAGGCAUCUCGCCCUCCAUUCUGUUUGUGAAAGGAUCAUCCAACACGCGUGCACGUUCUGAGUCUCCAAAGAAGGGGGAAAAAAAUCCAAAUCUCCAUGGUUAACCCUUUAGCCAACAGGAGAUUUUUUUUUUAUUCCUUUUAUUAUGACGAGCCAAGUGGAGAGAAAUUGGCCAUUUUAAAAAAUCACAGUAAUAGAAAUGUACUGCAUAUGAGAAGAUCUGUAAUCAAAGAGGCUAGUUAAUAUUCCAGGGAUGCAGUAGAACAGUAAAACCUCACUUUCCGGGAAGAUGAUGGGGGCGGGGGUGGGGGGCGCUGUAAGCCGAGCAAGAAACCCACACUCUACCUCCCAAGCCAUGCCCGGCGCCCUCACCCAGGCUGGUCCUGCCUACUCUCAGGCUAUCAUGGUGUAGAAGUCGAAGACCGAUGAGAUGUUCGUUGUUUGGCAGCACAGAAGCCAAGCAAAGGAAGGAAACCACCAUAACAUCAGCCUCCAGCCUCAAGCAUGCCUGAGGUCAUCCACAGUAGCUCUUCCAGAAUAUUGUGGUUUCCAGAAUACUGUGGUUUCCCUUUUUAAAAUCUAUUCACUUAAAGGUGUAUUGUUUUUCUAUUGCUGUCAUAAUCCCAAGAUCAGUGGUUUAAAAUGGUGUUUUAUCUGCCAGUGCUGCAGGCAGAAAUCCAGCAUGGGUCACCCGGGGUAGAGUCCAGGGUGGACGGCAGUGAGUUCCUUCUGGAGUUUCUAGGGGAGAACCCCUCUCCUCGCCUUUCCUGCGUCUAGAGGCUGCCUCUACCUGCCUGAAGUUGGCUCAUGAGCUGGGCCCUGAGGACGGUGGCUUUGUUCCCAAGAAGCUUUCAUUCUACCUGGAGAGGCAGAAAAUCUGACAUUAUCACAAUAACCCGGUACACUACGCAACAACUUAAAUGUAUGGGAUACGAACCUUGCGCAAUGGAGCCUGCUGACCUUGGCCGCAGGAUGUCAGGGGGGGACCUCAGCAGGGGUGAGGGAUUUCUGGAAUCUUCCAGGUACAUGGGGGCAAAGAGACACCCCUGGAAGAGGGGCUGUCUGGGGAACAGCCCAAGGCCUGCACAGCUCAGCGUUUCCAGAAGCUACGUAGAUGGUCGGAUGGGGGCAAUGUUGGGAGGCCAGGCCGCUGAGACAGCUGGACGUGGAGGGUGUGGCUAUAACCCAUGUCUCCCUCAUGAUGUGGGAUUGGAGGCUGCAUGGUGUGGGCAGGGGCCUUCUCUUUGCCAAACCCGCAGGAAGCCAGAGUGCAGGAGCCCGGCAAUGGCAAGCUGGGCGGGGCAAGAAGAGCUGGAUCCCAGAUAACUCUCUCCGUGGCCCUGACACAGUGACCACACAUGGACAUCGAUAUGAAGACAGCUAGAACCCCAGAUGGCCUCCACUGUCUCAAGGCUGAGAAGGAAAUGGACACCAGUGGCCACACCGUGUCGGUCUAGGAGUCUCAGACUUGAGGAUACUCUGGCAGACUUGUCACCACACAGAGAGCUGGUGUCACCACCCAGAGUUUCUGCUCCACCCCCCAUUUCCCAGCUGAGGACACCCGGCUCAGCGCGGCAGAGGACCCGUCCACACGCGCAGCUGCCGCGCACGGGGCAGGCGCGGAAACUCGGUCCUCUGGUUCCAGCUGGCACUUGAAGAGAGGCAAGUGACACAGACACUGGUUAGCAGGUUAAGAUGCGCUGGUCAUUCUACAGUUCCUUGUUCGUUAUUCUGUUUCCAA
This is a long non-coding RNA of Mustela erminea (ermine), 3747 nucleotides long. RefSeq lists it as uncharacterized. Lineage: Eukaryota; Metazoa; Chordata; Mammalia; Carnivora; Mustelidae. The record is from RefSeq and is a predicted model, not a curated record. The transcript is spliced from 4 exons.